This 293-nucleotide ribosomal RNA is filed under the name uncultured bacterium. Its description in RNAcentral is "partial 16S ribosomal RNA". It matches the Rfam family "Bacterial small subunit ribosomal RNA", at positions 505 to 796 of the family's 1533-position model. The record is from RNAcentral.
GUGUCAGCAGCCGCGGUAAUACGGAGGGUGCGAGCGUUGUCCGGAAUCACUGGGCGUAAAGGGCGCGUAGGCGGUCCGGUAAGCGCGUGGUGAAAGCCCGGGGCUCAACCCCGGGUCGGCCGUGCGGACUGCGGGACUGGAGCACUGUAGAGGCGGGCGGAAUUCCGGGUGUAGCGGUGGAAUGCGUAGAGAUCCGGAAGAACACCGGUGGCGAAGGCGGCCCGCUGGGCAGGAUGCUGACGCUGAGGCGCGACAGCGUGGGGAGCAAACAGGAUUAGAAACCCCGGUAGUCC